CGCCCCCACAGCCAUGUCAGAAACAGGAGGAGAACCUCGUUCUGACAUGAGCAAAGUCGAAGGCCCAGUUCUUUUAGACCGGAUGGGGGGAGAGACCCUUGCGAUGGCCCUUAUGUGCCCCCACGGCCCCGUUAGGAACAGGAGGAGAACCUCAUCCUAACCUGAGCUGAGAUCGACUACGUCAGGAAUGGAAGGAGAGCCCCGUCCUAACGAUGACGAAACCCGACCGCC
Molecule: long non-coding RNA, 231 nt
Filed under: Elaeis guineensis (African oil palm)
Lineage: Eukaryota; Viridiplantae; Streptophyta; Magnoliopsida; Arecales; Arecaceae
Description: long non-coding RNA (EGUI_LNC009988)
Source: RNAcentral